CAAUGGCCCGACAGCUAUUCCAAAUCCGUUUUAAAACGGCGGCAAAUGCUCAGCAGAGUCAUCGAUAACGACCAAUACUUCUCUUACUGGGCGUGCCCUCCCCCCCAAAGCACGGCCAGUUGAGGGAGCGAGGAGCGUGACCUCAAACUCCUAUAUGGUCUUACCCGGCGUUGAGCCGG
Molecule: small RNA, 179 nt
Filed under: Pseudomonas saudiphocaensis
Lineage: Bacteria; Pseudomonadati; Pseudomonadota; Gammaproteobacteria; Pseudomonadales; Pseudomonadaceae
Description: P16
Rfam family: RgsA sRNA
About the family: P16 sRNA appears to be conserved across several Pseudomonas species and Azotobacter vinelandii.
Source: RNAcentral